AAUAACAAUAAACAGCUGCGCCAUGAGCGCAUGAUACGCCCGACGUCUUGUGUGGAAGUUUUAUGCAAUAAUCAUAAAUAGUUUCUGAGAAAGUUUUAAGCAAUAACCAUAUACUGUUUUUGAGAAAGGGCGGGACAUGUGAAACCCCCAACCCUGUUUUUUUUUACAAAAAACUAAAUAUCACUAAAAUAAAAUUUUGAAUCAAAACCAAAAAGUAUACAGAUCUUUAGAUUAAUAUAACAAAGAAGUGUGUAAACUUUUAAGCAAUAAUCAUAAAUUAUUUUUGAGAUACGGCGCAACAUGUAAAAAAAAACCUCCCCUAUUUAACAAAAUACUCAAUAACUCCAAAAUAACGUUUUGAAUCAUCACCAAAAAGUAUACAGAUCUUUAGAUUGAUAUAACAAAGAAGUGUGUAAAGUUUUAAGCAAUAAUCAUAAAUUGUUUUUGAGAUACGGCACAACAUGUAAAAAAAAACCUCCCCCUUUUUUACAAAAUACUCAAUAACUCAAAAAUGAAAUUUUGAAUCAUCACCAAAAAGUAUACAGAUCUUCAGAUUAAUAUAACAAAGACUUGUGUAAAGUUUUAAGCAAUAAUCAUAAAUCGUUUUUGAGAUAUGGUGCGACAUGUAAAAAAACCCUCCCCCUUUUUUACAAAAUACUCAAUAACUCAAAAAUGAAAUUUUGAAUCAUCACCAAAAAGUAUACAGAUAUUAAGAUUAAUAUAACUAAGAAGUGUUUAAAGUUUUAAGCCAUAAUCAAGAAUCGUUUUUGAGAUACGGUGCGACAUGUGAAAAAAACACACCCCUGUUUUAGUUACAAAGUGCCGUAACUCGAAAAGUCUUAAUCUUAUUUUCACCAAAAAGUAUACAGAUCAUUUGACCAUCGUAAGUAACAACUAUGUUAAGUUUCAUGAAAUUUGGAUAAGUCGUUCUCAAGUUACGGUGCGACAUGUUUACGCCGGACAGACAGACGGACGGACAGACAGACGGACGGACGGACGGACAGACAGACGGACGGACACCGGACAUUUGUAUACCAUAAUACGUCCCGUCAAAAUUUUGACGGGCGUAUAAAAACAGC
This 1079-nucleotide long non-coding RNA is filed under the name Mytilus galloprovincialis (Mediterranean mussel). The record is from RNAcentral. Lineage: Eukaryota; Metazoa; Mollusca; Bivalvia; Mytilida; Mytilidae.